GCCGACGAAGCUCAACGGGUAGAGCAUGCGCCUUGCAAGCGCAAGAAAACCGGUUCGAGGCCGGCCGUCGGCUCCA
Molecule: transfer RNA, 76 nt
Filed under: Phytohabitans rumicis
Lineage: Bacteria; Bacillati; Actinomycetota; Actinomycetes; Micromonosporales; Micromonosporaceae
Description: tRNA-Ala
Rfam family: tRNA
About the family: Transfer RNA (tRNA) molecules are approximately 80 nucleotides in length. Their secondary structure includes four short double-helical elements and three loops (D, anti-codon, and T loops).
Source: RNAcentral